RNAcentral lists this ribosomal RNA (2935 nucleotides) under Serratia marcescens. RNAcentral's name for it is "23S ribosomal RNA". It matches the Rfam family "Bacterial large subunit ribosomal RNA". The record is from RNAcentral. Lineage: Bacteria; Pseudomonadati; Pseudomonadota; Gammaproteobacteria; Enterobacterales; Yersiniaceae.
GGGUUGUGAGGUUAAGUGACUAAGCGUACACGGUGGAUGCCUAGGCAGUCAGAGGCGAUGAAGGGCGUGCUAAUCUGCGAAAAGCGUCGGUAAGGUGAUAUGAACCGUUACAACCGGCGAUACCCGAAUGGGGAAACCCAGUGUGUUUCGACACACUAUCAUGUCAUGAAUACAUAGUGGCAUGAGGCGAACCGGGGGAACUGAAACAUCUAAGUACCCCGAGGAAAAGAAAUCAACCGAGAUUCCCCCAGUAGCGGCGAGCGAACGGGGAGGAGCCCAGAACCUGAAUCGGCUUGUGUGUUAGUGGAAGCGUCUGGAAAGUCGCGCAGUAAAGGGUGAUAGCCCCGUACACUAAAAUGCACAGGUCGUGAGUUCGAUGAGUAGGGCGGGACACGUGACAUCCUGUCUGAAUAUGGGGGGACCAUCCUCCAAGGCUAAAUACUCCUGACUGACCGAUAGUGAACCAGUACCGUGAGGGAAAGGCGAAAAGAACCCCGGCGAGGGGAGUGAAAUAGAACCUGAAACCGUGUACGUACAAGCAGUGGGAGCACCUUCGUGGUGUGACUGCGUACCUUUUGUAUAAUGGGUCAGCGACUUAUAUUUUGUAGCAAGGUUAACCGUAUAGGGGAGCCGUAGGGAAACCGAGUCUUAACUGGGCGAAUAGUUGCAAGGUAUAGACCCGAAACCCGGUGAUCUAGCCAUGGGCAGGUUGAAGGUUGGGUAACACUAACUGGAGGACCGAACCGACUAAUGUUGAAAAAUUAGCGGAUGACUUGUGGCUGGGGGUGAAAGGCCAAUCAAACCGGGAGAUAGCUGGUUCUCCCCGAAAGCUAUUUAGGUAGCGCCUCGUGAACUCAUCUUCGGGGGUAGAGCACUGUUUCGGCUAGGGGGCCAUCCCGGCUUACCAAACCGAUGCAAACUCCGAAUACCGAAGAAUGUUAUCACGGGAGACACACGGCGGGUGCUAACGUCCGUCGUGAAGAGGGAAACAACCCAGACCGCCAGCUAAGGUCCCAAAGUCAUGGUUAAGUGGGAAACGAUGUGGGAAGGCAUAGACAGCCAGGAUGUUGGCUUAGAAGCAGCCAUCAUUUAAAGAAAGCGUAAUAGCUCACUGGUCGAGUCGGCCUGCGCGGAAGAUGUAACGGGGCUAAACCAUGCACCGAAGCUGCGGCAGCGACGCUUAGGCGUUGUUGGGUAGGGGAGCGUUCUGUAAGCCGUUGAAGGUGGCCUGUGAGGGUUGCUGGAGGUAUCAGAAGUGCGAAUGCUGACAUAAGUAACGAUAAAGCGGGUGAAAAGCCCGCUCGCCGGAAGACCAAGGGUUCCUGUCCAACGUUAAUCGGGGCAGGGUGAGUCGACCCCUAAGGCGAGGCUGAAAAGCGUAGUCGAUGGGAAACAGGUUAAUAUUCCUGUACUUGGUGUUACUGCGAAGGGGGGACGGAGAAGGCUAGGCUAGCCGGGCGACGGUUGUCCCGGUUUAAGCGUGUAGGGGGUGUGACCUGGUAAAUCCGGUUGCAUAUCAACCCUGAGGCGUGAUGACGAUGCACUACGGUGCAGAAGUAGUUGAUGCCCUGCUUCCAGGAAAAGCCUCUAAGCUCCAGGUAACAUUAAAUCGUACCCCAAACCGACACAGGUGGUCAGGUAGAGAAUACCAAGGCGCUUGAGAGAACUCGGGUGAAGGAACUAGGCAAAAUGGUGCCGUAACUUCGGGAGAAGGCACGCUGGCAUGUAGGUGAAGUCCCUUGCGGAUGGAGCUGAAGCCAGUCGAAGAUACCAGCUGGCUGCAACUGUUUAAUAAAAACACAGCACUGUGCAAACACGAAAGUGGACGUAUACGGUGUGACGCCUGCCCGGUGCUGGAAGGUUAAUUGAUGGGGUCAGCCGCAAGGCGAAGCUCUUGAUCGAAGCCCCAGUAAACGGCGGCCGUAACUAUAACGGUCCUAAGGUAGCGAAAUUCCUUGUCGGGUAAGUUCCGACCUGCACGAAUGGCGUAAUGAUGGCCAGGCUGUCUCCACCCGAGACUCAGUGAAAUUGAACUCGCUGUGAAGAUGCAGUGUACCCGCGGCAAGACGGAAAGACCCCGUGAACCUUUACUAUAGCUUGACACUGAACAUUGAGCCUUGAUGUGUAGGAUAGGUGGGAGGCUUUGAAGCGUGGACGCCAGUCUGCGUGGAGCCAUCCUUGAAAUACCACCCUUUAAUGUUUGAUGUUCUAACUCGGCCCCAUAAUCUGGGGUGAGGACAGUGUCUGGUGGGUAGUUUGACUGGGGCGGUCUCCUCCCAAAGAGUAACGGAGGAGCACGAAGGUUAGCUAAUCACGGUCGGACAUCGUGAGGUUAGUGCAAAGGCAUAAGCUAGCUUGACUGCGAGAGUGACGGCUCGAGCAGGUACGAAAGUAGGUCUUAGUGAUCCGGUGGUUCUGAAUGGAAGGGCCAUCGCUCAACGGAUAAAAGGUACUCCGGGGAUAACAGGCUGAUACCGCCCAAGAGUUCAUAUCGACGGCGGUGUUUGGCACCUCGAUGUCGGCUCAUCACAUCCUGGGGCUGAAGUAGGUCCCAAGGGUAUGGCUGUUCGCCAUUUAAAGUGGUACGCGAGCUGGGUUUAGAACGUCGUGAGACAGUUCGGUCCCUAUCUGCCGUGGGCGUUGGAAGAUUGAGAGGGGUUGCUCCUAGUACGAGAGGACCGGAGUGAACGCACCACUGGUGUUCGGGUUGUCAUGCCAAUGGCAUUGCCCGGUAGCUAAGUGCGGAAAAGAUAAGCGCUGAAAGCAUCUAAGCGCGAAACUUGCCUCAAGAUGAGUCUUCCCUGGGCCUUUAAGGCCCCUGAAGGAACGUUUAAGACUAAGACGUUGAUAGGCUGGGUGUGUAAGUGCAGCGAUGCAUUGAGCUAACCAGUACUAAUGAUCCGUGAGGCUUAACCUUACAACACCGAAGGUGUUU